CAGCCGCCGCGGUAAUACGUAGGGUGCGAGCGUUAGUCGGAAUUACUGGGCGUAAAGCGUGCGCAGGCGGUUUUGUAAGACAGGCGUGAAAUCCCCGGGCUCAACCUGGGAAUGGCGCUUGUGACUGCAAAGCUAGAGUGCGGCAGAGGGGGAUGGAAUUCCGCGUGUAGCAGUGAAAUGCGUAGAUAUGCGGAGGAACACCGAUGGCGAAGGCAAUCCCCUGGGCCUGCACUGACGCUCAUGCACGAAAGCGUGGGGAGCAAACAGGAUUAGAUACCCGAGUAGUCCCUGUCUCUUAUAC
This 301-nucleotide ribosomal RNA is filed under the name uncultured bacterium. RNAcentral describes it as "partial 16S ribosomal RNA". It matches the Rfam family "Bacterial small subunit ribosomal RNA", at positions 509 to 807 of the family's 1533-position model. The record is from RNAcentral.